GGUCCCUUAGGCCGGUGUGGGCGGUGGCGCGCGGCCCGGGGUCGCACCUGCGGUUUGGCGGCGUCGGUUGUAGGCUCUUGACCAGGAAUCCUGCCCAGGCACGUGGUCUUGGCAAAGCAGCCGCACUCGUCGCUAGGGUGUGCUGGGCCGCAGGCGAGGCCUCAGAGUAGACUUGAGAGAGUACAAAGGAGGGCAUAGGGAGAGAAGCAGACUCCCUGCCGAGUGAGGAGCCCAACAGGAGGUUCAAUUCUAUGACCCUGAGAUCCUGACCUGAGCUGAAACCAAGAGUCAGAGACUUAACAGACUGAGCUACCCAGGUGCCCCAUAUAUGUACGUUUCUAUUAGAAUCUCUAAACAUAAAACAACCUGACACACACAGAGAGAUGCUAAGAAGAGACGCUGAGAAAACUUUAGAAGGCUCCAGGUGCCGAUCCGGCAGCCCAAGUGCAGCUCUGCGCCCCCAGAGAUGCAGAGAAGCAGAAAGUAGAGAAGGUACUGGUCUACAUAGUAAUGACUGAGGAAUAGCAUCACUGGCCCCUUCCUGAUACUCCUCAUAUCUAACUGAUACAGUGCCUGAUGUCCUGGCUAUACAGUCACUCCUUUGAGCUCUUUCCUUCUAAUCCACUUUUUAAAGUACAUUAAGAAAUACAUUAACAAAUGCUCUUACAAUGAAUACAUGUAUUCAUUGUGUAUUAGAGAAAUGAGAGAUAUGGAACAAGGAGAGGCUUUUUUAUAAAGGCAGAUUUAAGGGUUUGUGGCAAAUUUUCCUCUUUUCUAAUAUUAACUAUAAAUAGUAUUAACAGUUUUAAACAUUAGAUAAUAUGAUCAUUUUCAUUGUCAAAGAAAUGUCUUAUAUGGGAAAUUCUUACUUUAUUUCUGUCCAAGUCUAAUCUCCCUUGAAAAAGGUCAUUAAGAGCAAUUUUUCCUUCCAGGCGUUUCAAGGGUCUUUUUUGUUCCCUAUACCUUUCUUGCAUUUGGGAUGAUUCUUCGGCGGCUUCUUCAGAGUGAUGCUGCAGCUGCUCCAGGCACUUUGUGAGCCUCAGAAUUUUCUGCUGCAGGCUUUCCAUCCUCUGUAGGGAGAAAGGAUAGAUACAACUCCUGAUGGCCCAUGAUUCCUAUUUUGUUUCAAAGCUAUGUGCAAGUUCUACUGACACUGACACUGUAGCAACAUUACAUUAAAAACUAGGUAAAUGGGGGAAGACUUUUAAGAUUUGACAUGUAUCAGCUGAUUUUAGAAAAAGAUAUGGAGGGGCAUCUGAGUAGCUCAGUUGGUUAAGUGUCUGCCUUCCACUCAGGUCACCAUCUUGGGGUCCUGAGAUUGAGCCCUGCAUCUGGCACCUUGCUCAUUGGGGAGCCUGCUUCUCCCUCUCACUCUGCCUGCCAUCCCCUUGCUUCUCUCUCUCUGUCAAAUAAAUAAAAAUAUAUUUUUAAAAAGAAAAAGAAAUGGAAAGUUUUGAUAUACAAAAUGAGACAUUUAGUCAUUACUGAGAAAUCAAAUUGUAUAAUGAAUUUUAAGCAAAAAGUGAAAGAAAAAUUAGAACUCUGUAAUAAAUAGACUGUAGCAGAUUUGACUAACACAUUGAAUCUAAGCAAUACCUAUCUUUAUUUAAAUUUGGGGGUGAAGAGGCAUGACAUUUUACUAAAAUGAUUUGGACACAACAAGGAGAUACAUCCAUUGAAACUUCCUGGUGCAAUCUUUUAAAUUCAAAUAAAUAACUGAUCUAAUGAUGUAUUUUACUGACCUGGCCAGUAUUUAGGCAUGAUAGACAUAUUAUCUUCACCAUACCACUAUUUUUAAGCCAGGAUUCACAGAGCUUACACUGAAGUGAACUAAGCAUUUAUCAUGUAUUAAUCCAUUUAAUCCUUACCACUCUGUGAGAUAAGAACUAUCUAUGCCAUUCCAGCCCCCAACCCCAUUCCACUAUCACCAAAUUCUACAAAUGAAAUUGAGGCCCAGAGAGGAUAAGUGAUCUGCCCAAGAGCACACAGCUGGCCAUGGCUGAGCUGGGAUUCAUACUUGGGCUAUCUGCUCUUAACAAAUAUAAUACACUACCUCUGCUGUAAUAAUUGACAUCCUUUUCCUUUUUAUCACUGUAGUAUUAAAAAUAAAAUCAAAGUUAAAAUUCAGAGCCACAGAAUUUACAUCAGCUAGUAUCAAAACCGAUGCAUUAAAAAUAAUCGACAUGUUAAAAGAAACAAAUUUGAAAGAAUGACUUCUCUGUCAAUACACCUACAGACUUCCAAGACCGCUCAUUUGCACCAAUUUCCUGAAUCCUCUCUUUCACAGCUUCCUCCGUGGCUGGUAUGGGUACAAUACUGUUGCUCAGAAGAGUAGCCAACUGACUGAUGAAUUUCUGGUAGUGGGAUUGUGUAGUUUUAGUUUCCCAGCUGAAUGAAUAUGGAGGUCUGUCCAACUCAUAUUUUUGUUUUUCCUUAUGGGUUGAAUCUUGAUGACACUUAUCCCAAAUUUUCUGCCCAUCUUUUGGUCCUUCAGAGUAGAAAAUGUCUCUCUCAAAGUUCUUGGUCAGGAUAGCUUCACUUUUAUCCUAAAUAUGCCAACACACAGGUUAAACUUCCCAUUUAGAAUUUAAUACGGAGACAUUUACUUCCUUUUUUUGAAAUAUAAAUAUAGUCAUAAUACAAAACUUUAGGAGCAAAGCCCUUAAAAGAAAUAAAAGAGUUGUGGAGUCAUAAGAGAGACAAGGCCAUACUCAAAAGAGAAAACUAAAACAUCAGAGAUAUUAAAAUGACAGUAUGGAGAAAAUGUUUUGAAAACAUAGGAAAUUCAGCUUGGAAAAGCAGAUAAUCAAAGAGCCUCAGUUUAUGAAGUUAUACUCUUUACAGAAAAUUUUGAGCUAAUAAAUGUAGAAAGAAUAACAGGAAUUUUAAAAAUCAGCAUUUUACACCUAAUGAAAUAACUGAAUCGGGCAAAGACCAUCAAUGAAUGUUAAGACAAUUAAAUGAAAAAUUGGGAGGGAAAUGGUUAUUUCCAUAAAGACUUCAUUAUGAUUAUAGAACAUUACUAGUAACAAUUUUGAUAAAGUAAAAGUAUAAAUGAAAGAAGUCUCAUUUUCCCCCCCAAUCUUUCCCUUGCUUCCAUAAUCAUCCUGCUUCCAUUUUGUAAAUAGCUGGUAGGGGGAGGAUGAUGCUUAUACUUCUUCCCUGAACUCCCACACAUUCUACCUUUAUAAAUUCUAGUCUUCUUUCCACCUUCUUGAUACUUUCAACUCUGGAAGCUGAGUAAAUAGGUUCAGUUUCUGGGCUUUAUGUCAUGUUAAACAGAAAUAGAGACUAGAACUGUUGAAGUAAUGAUGGGUUUGCAUCACUACUGAAGCUAGAAUAAAAAAGGCAAUGGGAGAAAAGGUCAGAGUUCCAUGGAUGCUGGUUUGGGAGAGUUUUUCAGGAGUGUGACAUUCCUGAGAGAAGUGAAAAAAACUGGGAAGUGUUACUGUGAAUUACUUGAGAGGGACAUUCAAAAUUGGAAUUACUUAAAACUACUUUGAAAGUAGCUCCUGAAUUUUUUUAAAUGGAAACCCUCAGAUUAAUUGGAUUUUGGUGGACCUUGUUUUACAUUCAGAUUAUAUAAUAACCUGUUAAAGUCUAAGGAUUUCAAAAUAAACUUUCGCCACUUCCUUGGCAAUAGAGUGGUUCCCAACCUCCUCCAACAUUCUUCUCUGAAGUCUCUACUCAUCCUGUGAAUUGCUAUCUACUAGUGACCAAGCUCAUCUCUUCUUUCUAAACCCAACUCACACCAUAAUUCUAGAUUUCAAGGUCCAGUGUAGAUGAUCCACGAAUUUAGCUUUGUGAUUUCUGUGCCUUGGUUUCAAUACUUUUGCCUACAUCUCUCUUCAACCCUUAUAUUCAGAGCCCAAAACCCAGAUGUCAGCAGAAGGAAGUAACCCACGCUAGAAAUGUAAAACCCCAAUAUUUCGUUCUUUAACCACCAUCUCUCCUCCUCCCACUUCUCUCUCAGUUCUGUUCCCUCUAAUGGUCCUUCAGUAUCACAGAGACCUUAGGGCUGCCUUGUGCUUUUUCUCUGUACUUCAGAAAGGCUUUCCAGCAACCAUACUGCACUGCUUCCUCUGACCUUCCAUAAGAAGCAGAUCAACAGGGCAGCGUGGGUGGCUCAGCGGUUUAGCGCCGCCUUCAGCCCAGGGCCUGAUCUUGGAAACCUGGGAUCGAGUCCCACGUCGGGCUCCCUGCAUGGAGCCUGCUUCUCCCUCUGCCUCUCUCUCUCUGUGUGUGUGUGUCUCUCAUGAAUAAAUAAAUAAAAUAUUUAAAAAAAACAGAUCAACAAACUACUCAACAUUUGCCAAUUAUCUCUUGGAGUAACACAAGAUAAUAAAAAUCUUGUUUUAUUAUAAUAAAUACAUUAUUCAUAUUAUAUACUAUAUGUAUAAUUUAUAUGAAAUAUACGAUAUAUAAUAAAUAUAUGAAUAAUUUUAUAAUAAAUAUAGCAAUAUAUUAGAUAUAAUAAACAAUAAUUUUUUAUUUUAUUAAAAUAAAUGAUGUAUUAUUAUGGUAAUAAAAAUCAAUCAAAAUUUAUUCUCACCUUCAUCAGGAAACUAUCCAAGGGAUCUUCUUGCCCUUUCAUAUUCAUAUAAGGGGUGCAUCCAUCAGUACCUGCUAAGUUUUUCUUCAAAAGGCUUGCUUUUCGUUCUGCCUUUUCUUUUUCAAACAGAUGUACUCUGUGUAAGAUAUCGGUAGGUAACAACAUCAUGAAACCAACUUAGUUUUCAAACUUCAAUUAAAAAUAAUUAAAAGAAAUAAUCCCCAUUUAAAAUAUAUUAAAUACAUGUAUCGAGUAGAAGGGUACUUCCUAUGAAAAGGGCAGUGUAAUUACCCAACUAUUUCUAGAGAGAGACUAGAAACGGCAGAGAAAUGGAGAGAAAAAUAAUCCAGUGCUAGGUCCUCUAGUAUUUUCCCUGGGGAAGGUCAAUUUAAACCAUCCUUUUCAAGAGGAAGUUUGAGCAUGAAUAUCUGCCUGCCACUAUUAAUAAUAAUGUGAUCUGCCUGCCACUAGUAACAUUGUGAUGAUCAGGAAGUUCCACAGGGAUACAAGCACUCCUAUUUUAAUAACACCUGAUGGGUCUUCCACUGGGAUUUGAUGAGAGAAAAGGGAAUUAGAAUAAUGAUACAGCAAUAGAGAAUAGCAUAUUUAAAAACUUGUUUUAUCAAAUACACAAAUAAUUAUUUGGUUCUUGUUUUGAUUAUUAAUUGCUAGGUAUUGUAAUAUUUCUAUCCUGUACCCAUAUCUAAUUUUUUUUAAUUUUUUUAAAAUUUUUAUUUA
Canis lupus familiaris (dog) is the source of this 5290-nucleotide long non-coding RNA. RefSeq lists it as uncharacterized. NCBI's taxonomy places the organism in Eukaryota, Metazoa, Chordata, Mammalia, Carnivora, Canidae. The record is from RefSeq and is a predicted model, not a curated record. The transcript is spliced from 4 exons.